This 253-nucleotide ribosomal RNA is filed under the name uncultured bacterium. RNAcentral's name for it is "partial 16S ribosomal RNA". It matches the Rfam family "Bacterial small subunit ribosomal RNA", at positions 524 to 776 of the family's 1533-position model. The record is from RNAcentral.
UACAGGGGGGGCAAGCGUUGUUCGGAAUUACUGGGCGUAAAGGGCUCGUAGGCGGCCGGCUAAGUCCGACGUGAAAUCCCCAGGCUUAACCUGGGAACUGCGUCGGAUACUGGCGGGCUUGAAUCCGGGAGAGGGAUGCGGAAUUCCAGGUGUAGCGGUGAAAUGCGUAGAUAUCUGGAGGAACACCGGUGGCGAAGGCGGCAUCCUGGAUCGGCAUUGACGCUGAAUAGCGAAAGCCAGGGGAGCAAACGGG